RNAcentral lists this small RNA (29 nucleotides) under Bombyx mori (domestic silkworm). Its description in RNAcentral is "ovarian small RNA-12989". Lineage: Eukaryota; Metazoa; Arthropoda; Insecta; Lepidoptera; Bombycidae. The record is from RNAcentral.
CACCUGCGAUAACGCGGCCGCGCGUUGGU